UACGUAGGGGGCGAGCGUUAUCCGGAUUUACUGGGCGUAAAGCGCGUUAAGGCGGUUGGCAAAGUUGGUUAUGAAAUCUCAGGGCUCAACCCUGAAAUUGCGACCAAUACUGGUCGACUAGAGUGCAAGAGAGGAAGGUGGAAUUCCCGGUGUAGUAGUGAAAUGCGUAGAUAUCGGGAGGAACACCAGUGGCGAAGGCGGCCUUCUGGCUUGUAACUGACGCUGUAGCGCGAAAGCGUGGGGAGCGAACCGG
This 253-nucleotide ribosomal RNA is filed under the name uncultured bacterium. RNAcentral describes it as "partial 16S ribosomal RNA". It matches the Rfam family "Bacterial small subunit ribosomal RNA", at positions 524 to 776 of the family's 1533-position model. The record is from RNAcentral.